GUACCAUGAUGAAUGAUUUCUGCACUGAUCUUCCUCUUGAUGUUUUGAAUUUUGAGCUUUUUAACUCUGACGUACC
Molecule: small nucleolar RNA, 76 nt
Filed under: Bemisia tabaci
Lineage: Eukaryota; Metazoa; Arthropoda; Insecta; Hemiptera; Aleyrodidae
Source: RNAcentral